Molecule: ribosomal RNA, 378 nt
Filed under: uncultured Pseudomonas sp.
Lineage: Bacteria; Pseudomonadati; Pseudomonadota; Gammaproteobacteria; Pseudomonadales; Pseudomonadaceae
Description: bacterial SSU rRNA
Rfam family: Bacterial small subunit ribosomal RNA
Source: RNAcentral
UGGAUUGGUGCCUUCGGGAACUCUGACACAGGUGCUGCAUGGCUGUCGUCAGCUCGUGUCGUGAGAUGUUGGGUUAAGUCCCGUAACGACGCGCAACCCUUGUCCUUAGUUACCAGCACGUUAUGGUGGGCACUCUAAGGAGACUGCCGGUGACAAACCGGAGGAAGGUGGGGAGUGACGUCAAGUCAUCAUGGCCCUUACGGCCUGGGCUACACACGUGCUACAAUGGUCGGUACAAAGGGUUGCCAAGCCGCGAGGUGGAGCUAAUCCCAUAAAACCGAUCGUAGUCCGGAUCGCAGUCUGCAACUCGACUGCGUGAAGUCGGAAUCGCUAGUAAUCGUGAAUCAGAAUGUCACGGUGAAUACGUUCCCGGGCCUU